RNAcentral lists this ribosomal RNA (602 nucleotides) under uncultured bacterium. RNAcentral describes it as "bacterial SSU rRNA". It matches the Rfam family "Bacterial small subunit ribosomal RNA", at positions 338 to 1533 of the family's 1533-position model. The record is from RNAcentral.
CCUACGGGAGGCAGCAGUGGGGAAUAUUGCACAAUGGGCGCAAGCCUGAUGCAGCAACGCCGCGUGAGGGACGAAGGCCUUCGGGUUGUAAACCUCUUUUAGUAGGGAAGAAGCGAAAGUGACGGUACCUGCAGAAAAAAGCACCGGCUAACUACGUGCCAGCAGCCGCGGUAAUACGUAGGGUGCAAGCGUUAUCCGGAAUUAUUGGGCGUAAAGAGCUCGUAGGCGGUUUGUCGCGUCUGCUGUGAAAACUGGAGGCUCAACCUCCAGCCUGCAGUGGGUACGGGCAAACUAGAGUGCGGUAGGGGAGAUUGGAAUUCCUGGUGUAGCGGUGGAAUGCGCAGAUAUCAGGAGGAACACCGAUGGCGAAGGCAGAUCUCUGGGCCGUAACUGACGCUGAGGAGCGAAAGCAUGGGGAGCGAACAGGAUUAGAUACCCUGGUAGUCCAUGCCGUAAACGUUGGGAACUAGAUGUGGGGGCCAUUCCACGGCUUCCGUGUCGCAGCUAACGCAUUAAGUUCCCGCCUGGGGAGUCGGCCGCAAGGCAAAACUUACGAAAGUAGUAGCGUUGUGAGAGCGACGACGACGACGACGGAGGAGGAG